AUGAAUAUAUCUAGUUUUUUUGGAUGGAGGGAGUAUUUUUUUUGUGGAAUGUUUUCUGUGGACCUAGAAGCUGUGGGACAAGAGGAGAAUAUUUGUUUUGUUUUUAGAUUAGAAUCUGGACAAGACGAGAAGAGGCCGAGGCCGAGCCCAGCCCAGCAAUCUGGCGGGCCCCGUUGGAGACCGAGGCGGUCCAGUUGUUUAAGAAGGGGAUCCCGAGGCCCGGACGAGCAGAAGGAAACCCUAGCCGCCGUCGUCUUCCUCUUCGUCGUCCUCGAAGCCAUCUUCUGGUCUGUUGGUAGCUAUGGCGCUGCGCACCGUUGCCGCGAAGCUGAAGGCCCCCGUCGCCUCUCUCAAGCAGGCCUGGGCGGUCUGCCGUCCUCAGGCCAAGGGUCCCAAGCUCUCUAA
Molecule: ribosomal RNA, 405 nt
Filed under: Triticum aestivum (bread wheat)
Lineage: Eukaryota; Viridiplantae; Streptophyta; Magnoliopsida; Poales; Poaceae
Description: partial small subunit ribosomal RNA
Source: RNAcentral